UCCCGCCCGACUGCCUGCUGUGCCAGCCCCAGACCUUUGGCUGCCACCCCCUGGUCGGCUGUGAGGAGUGUAACUGCUCAGGGCCCGGCAUCCAGGAGCUCACAGACCCUACCUGUGACACAGACAGCGGCCAGUGCAGUGCAGACCCAACGUGACUGGGCGCCGCUGUGAUACCUGCUCUCCGGGCUUCCAUGGCUACCCCCGCUGCCGCCCCUGUGACUGUCACGAGGCGGGCACUGCGCCUGGCGUGUGUGACCCCCUCACAGGGCAGUGCUACUGUAAGG
RNAcentral lists this long non-coding RNA (284 nucleotides) under Homo sapiens (human). RNAcentral describes it as "non-protein coding lnc-CABLES2-1:1". Lineage: Eukaryota; Metazoa; Chordata; Mammalia; Primates; Hominidae. The record is from RNAcentral.